Long non-coding RNA from Oenanthe melanoleuca, 328 nucleotides. RefSeq lists it as uncharacterized. Lineage: Eukaryota; Metazoa; Chordata; Aves; Passeriformes; Muscicapidae. The record is from RefSeq and is a predicted model, not a curated record. The transcript is spliced from 2 exons.
GCAUUUGCCUUGUGUCAGAAAGUACUUCAGAGGCCAGACUGAACCCCGCUGUCCCAAGUGUAAUGAACUCUGGUCUUGUUGACACCCCAGUUUUCUUGCCAGGUGUCAGUCGGAUGUGCUCCCAGACUCAGCACUGAGCUCCACUCUUGGCCCUGGAUGAUGCCAGUAAAACUUGUCAGUGACAUCUGUUUGCCCCCACUCUGGCAGAACAGCCAGACUGUAUUGUAUUUGUUAUUGUGUUAUGGUAACAGUGCUCAGUGCACUCAUUUUCUAAAGUUCUAAGAAUCUUACAAUAAAACUAUCAUUUAUGUUCCUGUUCCUAAUAAUA